UUGUAGUUUCAUGACUUAGUGAAAAUCUAAACCGGAAGUAAAGUCUUCGUACUCUUAGAGCAUGAAUAGGUGAAAUUCCUAUACCGACAGUAAAGUCUGAAUAUAGAAAAUACAA
This 115-nucleotide non-coding RNA is filed under the name Mycoplasmopsis alligatoris. RNAcentral describes it as "Mycoplasma alligatoris FMN sequence". It matches the Rfam family "FMN riboswitch aptamer (RFN element)". From Rfam's summary of the family: The RFN element is a highly conserved domain that is found frequently in the 5'-untranslated regions of prokaryotic mRNAs that encode for flavin mononucleotide (FMN) biosynthesis and transport proteins. This element is a metabolite-dependent riboswitch that directly binds FMN in the absence of proteins. Lineage: Bacteria; Bacillati; Mycoplasmatota; Mycoplasmoidales; Metamycoplasmataceae. The record is from RNAcentral.